Molecule: non-coding RNA, 230 nt
Filed under: Sporomusa sphaeroides
Lineage: Bacteria; Bacillati; Bacillota; Negativicutes; Selenomonadales; Sporomusaceae
Also listed under: 1 other name
Description: T-box sequence
Rfam family: T-box leader
About the family: Uncharged tRNA acts as the effector for transcription antitermination of genes in the T-box leader family.
Source: RNAcentral
UGAAAUGUAAUGAAUAGGAGAAGUAAGUCAGAAUGGUCUUUUAGAGAGCUGAGGGUUGGUGAAACUCAGUAGGCGGACUGGCUGAAAUACACCUAUGAACAGCAGGCUGAAAGUGUGCAGUAGUAAGCCGGGCCGGAGCCACCGUUAUAUGGCUGGAAGUUUUUUAACUUCGCUUGAGUGGCUUAUUGCAGCAACAAGGGUGGUACCACGGGUUUACUCCCGUCCCUGAC